UACGGGGGGGGCAAGCGUUGUUCGGAAUUACUGGGCGUAAAGGGCUCGUAGGCGGCCAACUAAGUCAAACGUGAAAUCCCUCGGCUUAACCGGGGAACUGCGCUUGAUACUGGAUGGCUUGAGAUUGGGAGAGGGAUGCGGAAUUCCAGGUGUAGCGGUGAAAUGCGUAGAUAUCUGGAGGAACACCGGUGGCGAAGGCGGCAUCCUGGACCGAUACUGACGCUGAGGAGCGAAAGCCAGGGGAGCAAACGGG
This 253-nucleotide ribosomal RNA is filed under the name uncultured bacterium. RNAcentral's name for it is "partial 16S ribosomal RNA". It matches the Rfam family "Bacterial small subunit ribosomal RNA", at positions 524 to 776 of the family's 1533-position model. The record is from RNAcentral.